RNAcentral lists this ribosomal RNA (520 nucleotides) under Shewanella sp. C5F9PB3. Its description in RNAcentral is "bacterial SSU rRNA". It matches the Rfam family "Bacterial small subunit ribosomal RNA", at positions 542 to 1060 of the family's 1533-position model. Lineage: Bacteria; Pseudomonadati; Pseudomonadota; Gammaproteobacteria; Alteromonadales; Shewanellaceae. The record is from RNAcentral.
UAAUCGGAAUUACUGGGCGUAAAGCGUGCGCAGGCGGUUUGUUAAGCGAGAUGUGAAAGCCCCGGGCUCAACCUGGGAACUGCAUUUCGAACUGGCAAACUAGAGUCUUGUAGAGGGGGGUAGAAUUUCAGGUGUAGCGGUGAAAUGCGUAGAGAUCUGAAGGAAUACCGGUGGCGAAGGCGGCCCCCUGGACAAAGACUGACGCUCAGGCACGAAAGCGUGGGGAGCAAACAGGAUUAGAUACCCUGGUAGUCCACGCCGUAAACGAUGUCUACUCGGAGUUUGGUGNNCUUGAGCACUGGGCUCUCAAGCUAACGCAUUAAGUAGACCGCCUGGGGAGUACGGCCGCAAGGUUAAAACUCAAAUGAAUUGACGGGGGCCCGCACAAGCGGUGGAGCAUGUGGUUUAAUUCGAUGCAACGCGAAGAACCUUACCUACUCUUGACAUCCAGAGAAUUCGCUAGAGAUAGCUUAGUGCCUUCGGGAACUCUGAGACAGGUGCUGCAUGGCUGUCGUCAGCU